This 344-nucleotide ribosomal RNA is filed under the name Atrina pectinata. RNAcentral describes it as "partial 12S rRNA". Lineage: Eukaryota; Metazoa; Mollusca; Bivalvia; Pterioida; Pinnidae. The record is from RNAcentral.
GGUACAAAGUCAUACCAGGUAUUCACUUAGUAGUGACAAGUGCCCGGUUACGAAAAAUGGCACGGGUCUUCUGACAGACUUAAAACCAAGGUUCCGUUUUAUAUUAGGCGUGACAUGUGAAAGGAUCGUCGAUGCAGUUUGCGUCAGACUUUAGCACAGGUCAAAAUUGUUGCACUUCCCCUAAGCUGAUGUGCAUAUAAGUAAAAUUAACGAAGUACCAAUUGAUAAUCGAAAUACAAGCCCAUUAGAAUACUACAAAUUAUAUGUGUAAAUGGUGUCAACAUAAAGACAAAUUGCGAAUCCCAAAGGGAUAGGACCAGUUGUCCGGAAGGAAUCAGCGCUUU